AGGCUACAUAGAGAAACCCUGUCUCAAAAAACCCAAACAAAACAAAACCCUGAAUGGAGUUCCCCAUGGGGCCCUGGUGUGCAACAGGAGCCUGGUUGCCUAUCUGGGCUGUCCUAGGGACCUUGGAGACAAUU
RNAcentral lists this small nucleolar RNA (134 nucleotides) under Mus pahari (shrew mouse). Its description in RNAcentral is "snoRNA (MGP_PahariEiJ_G0034498.1)". Lineage: Eukaryota; Metazoa; Chordata; Mammalia; Rodentia; Muridae. The record is from RNAcentral.